Nomascus leucogenys (northern white-cheeked gibbon) is the source of this 117-nucleotide non-coding RNA. It matches the Rfam family "Metazoan signal recognition particle RNA". From Rfam's summary of the family: The signal recognition particle (SRP) is a universally conserved ribonucleoprotein. It is involved in the co-translational targeting of proteins to membranes. NCBI's taxonomy places the organism in Eukaryota, Metazoa, Chordata, Mammalia, Primates, Hylobatidae. The record is from Rfam.
GCUGGGCACGGUGGCUCAUGCCUGUAAUCCCAGCACUUUGGGAGGCCGAGGUGGGUGGAUCACCUGAGGUCAGGAGUUCAAGACCAGCCUGGCCAACAUGGUGAAACCCCAUCUCUA